This 746-nucleotide unclassified non-coding RNA is filed under the name soil metagenome. Its description in RNAcentral is "partial contains internal transcribed spacer 1, 5.8S ribosomal RNA, and internal transcribed spacer 2". The stretch from base 135 to 288 matches the Rfam family "5.8S ribosomal RNA". The record is from RNAcentral.
CUGAGUUUUCAACUCUCCAAACCAUGUGAACUUACCACUGUUGCCUCGGUGGUUGGUCUUCGGACUGACCACCGGUGGACUACUAAACUCUUGUUAAUUUUGGCAUUCUGAAUCAUAACUAAGAAAUAAGUUAAAACUUUCAACAACGGAUCUCUCGGUUCUGGCAUCGAUGAAGAACGCAGCGAAAUGCGAUAAGUAAUGUGAAUUGCAGAAUUCAGUGAAUCAUCGAAUCUUUGAACGCACAUUGCGCCCAUUAGUAUUCUAGUGGGCAUGCCUGUUCGAGCGUCAUUUCAACCCUUAAGCCUAGCUUAGUGUUGGGAGACUGCCUAAUACGCAGCUCCUCAAAACCAGUGGCGGAGUCUGUUCGUGCUCUGAGCGUAGUAAUUCUUUAUCUCGCUUCUGUAAGCCGGUCAGACGACAGCCAUAAACCGCACCCUUCGGGGGCACUUUUUAAUGGUUGACCUCGGAUCAGGUAGGAAUACCCGCUGAACUUAAGCAUAUCAAUAAGCGGAGGAAUCGAUGCCUUGGUCAUUUAGAGGAAGUAAAAGUCGUAACAAGGUCUCCGUUGGUGACCAGCGGAGGGAUCAUUAAAGAGUUGCAAAACUCCCACAAACCAUCGCGAACGUUACCACACAUAAGUUGCUUCGGCGCGCCGCUCCCGGGUCACACCGGGGCGCCGCCGUAGUGGCCGUAUACAAACUCUUAUUAUAAACCAGUUACAUCUGAGUACUAUACUUAAUAAGUAA